Molecule: long non-coding RNA, 274 nt
Organism: Pogoniulus pusillus (Red-fronted tinkerbird)
Lineage: Eukaryota; Metazoa; Chordata; Aves; Piciformes; Lybiidae
Exons: 5
Source: RefSeq, a predicted model, not a curated record
GGGUGAGAGAGGAGCCCCGGGGGACAAGGGCACACGAGGGCUGCCGGGGCACAGGGGGGCUCCCGGCAGCAGGGGGGAGGUUGGUGGCCCUGGCAGCGUGGGACCUCCAGGAGAGAUGGGUCCGAAGGGAUCGCCAGGAACUGCUCCUUCCACGCCGUGCGAGCUCAAAGCCUUCAUCCGCCGCAGCUGUGCCACCGCCUCACCCUCCUGCCCUCUCUACCCCACCGAGCUGGUGCUGGUGCUGGAGAGCUCCUCCGCGGUGCCAGCUGCGCUC